RNAcentral lists this ribosomal RNA (468 nucleotides) under uncultured bacterium. RNAcentral's name for it is "partial 16S ribosomal RNA". It matches the Rfam family "Bacterial small subunit ribosomal RNA", at positions 28 to 507 of the family's 1533-position model. The record is from RNAcentral.
GAUGAACGCUGGCGGCGUGCUUAACACAUGCAAGUCGAACGGAAAGGCCCUGCUUUUGUGGGGUGCUCGAGUGGCGAACGGGUGAGUAACACGUGAGUAACCUGCCCUUGACUUUGGGAUAACUUCAGGAAACUGGGGCUAAUACCGGGUAGGAGCUCCUGCUGCAUGGUGGGGGUUGGAAAGUUUCGGCGGUUGGGGAUGGACUCGCGGCUUAUCAGCUUGUUGGUUGGGUAGUGGCUUACCAAGGCUUUGACGGGUAGCCGGCCUGAGAGGGUGACCGGCCACACUGGGACUGAGAUACGGCCCAGACUCCUACGGGAGGCAGCAGUGGGGAAUAUUGCACAAGGGGCGGAAGCCUGAUGCAGCAACGCCGCGUGCGGGAUGACGUCCUUCGGGUUGUAAACCGCUUUCGCCUGUGACGAAGCGUGAGUGACGGUAACGGGUAAAGAAGCACCGGCUAACUACGUG